This 497-nucleotide ribosomal RNA is filed under the name uncultured bacterium. RNAcentral describes it as "bacterial SSU rRNA". It matches the Rfam family "Bacterial small subunit ribosomal RNA", at positions 16 to 507 of the family's 1533-position model. The record is from RNAcentral.
AUCCUGGCUCAGGAUGAACGCUAGCGGCAGGCUUAAUACAUGCAAGUCGUGGGCGGCAUGAGUAGCAAUACUUGAUGGCGACCGGCAAACGGGUGAGGAACACGUACACAACCUUCCUUCAAGCGGGGAAUAGCCCAGAGAAAUUUGGAUUAAUACCCCAUAAUAUAUUUGAUAAGGCAUCUUAUUAAUAUUAAAGCUUCGGCACUUGAUGAUGGGUGUGCGGCUGAUUAGAUAGUUGGCGGGGUAACGGCCCACCAAGUCUACGAUCAGUAGCUGAUGUGAGAGCAUGAUCAGCCACACGGGCACUGAGACACGGGCCCGACUCCUACGGGAGGCAGCAGUAAGGAAUAUUGGACAAUGGACGAAAGUCUGAUCCAGCCAUGCCCGCGUGAAGGAUUAAGGUCCUCUGGAUUGUAAACUUCUUUUAUAUGGGACGAAAAAAGGGCAUUCUUGUUCACUUGACGGUACCAUAUGAAUAAGCACCGGCUAACUCCGUG